CAUUUAAGAAAGGAAAAAGGAUCCAACUGUAAAUUACGACACAACAGCCAAACGGAUCCCGUCGAUAAAGUUUUAAAGGUUACUUCAAAAAAUAAAAAAAUCAAAAUCAAAAUUCAAAAGCCGUUUGCUUUUUUUUUUUUUUUGAAAUUUCCAUGGCGGACGAAAAUGAGAUCAUCGAUAUAUAUAGCUCGGAUGAGGAAGACGAAGAAGAUGAUGAUAUCGAUAGCGAGAGUAGCGAAGAAGAUGAAGAUCGGAAUCUGAGUGGAGAUGGUAGCGAAUCAAGCGAAGAUGAUUAUACUGAUUCGAAUUCGGAUUCUGAUGACGAUGAAGAAGAUGAUGAUGAUGAUGAUGAUGAUAACGAAGAAGAAGACUCUCUUGUAGAUAAAGUCACUCGUCUACUCAAAGGGAAACAAGAUUGACUCAUAAACAUUUCUUAGCUGGGAAGCUUUUUUAAGGGUAAAAGAUAGGAGCAUUAAAGAAGCAGUUUAUCAAAGAUCAUCUACUGCUAAGUUUGAGUAGAAAACCAAAGCAUGAGAAGGUCUGCAUACUUGUGGUUCCCCGAGCAGCGAAGAAUUGUGAUCUUGUUCCGAAUUGUUUUCCCUAUCAUUUGGCUAAGGCGAGGAGCUGGGAUGUGAGCUUCGCCAUGUCUGCGGUUGUUCCGUUCUCUCCAAAUGCUAGCUCCGAAGAAGGAUUUAUAAACUUGUGUUUGAAUCACUCAUAAGUUCGAGAAGUUCUUUUCAUAUAUGAUUGUACUAAAGCCUACUCCGAGCGAACUAACCCGUUGCCAAUGGUUAUGCAUACCGGUAUUCAUGAUUUUUGGGGUGGCAUGUAACUUCUUUAACUCACUGUUCCUGGUCUAGUUUCGCUUCUUUACGCAGUACAAUAACACAUGCUAGCUUGUGUAUUAAAGAAAACUCUCAAUGUGUUCUUGUCAACACUGCUUAUCAGUACUCUUAUUUUGUUAUUCUAUAAAUAUAAGAGACUCUUUGAUGA
This is an RNA transcript of Arabidopsis lyrata subsp. lyrata, 993 nucleotides long. It is a transcript of the gene named trigger factor, with no coding region annotated. Lineage: Eukaryota; Viridiplantae; Streptophyta; Magnoliopsida; Brassicales; Brassicaceae. The transcript is spliced from 5 exons. The record is from RefSeq and is a predicted model, not a curated record.